Molecule: ribosomal RNA, 254 nt
Filed under: uncultured bacterium
Lineage: Bacteria
Description: partial 16S ribosomal RNA
Rfam family: Bacterial small subunit ribosomal RNA
Source: RNAcentral
UACGUAGGGGGCGAGCGUUGUCCGGAUUCAUUGGGCGUAAAGAGCUCGUAGGCGGCUUGGCAAGUCGGAUGUGAAAACUCCAGGCUCAACCUGGAGCCGCCAUUCGAUACUGCUAUGGCUAGAGUCCGGUAGGGGAGUGUGGAAUUCCCGGCGUAGUGGUGAAAUGCGUAGAUAUCGGGAGGAACACCAGUGGCGAAGGCGACUUCCUGGCCUGUUCUUGACGCUGAGGCGCGAAAGCUAGGGGAGCAAACGGG